This is a long non-coding RNA of Teleopsis dalmanni, 760 nucleotides long. RefSeq lists it as uncharacterized. The record is from RefSeq and is a predicted model, not a curated record. Lineage: Eukaryota; Metazoa; Arthropoda; Insecta; Diptera; Diopsidae. The transcript has 3 exons.
GUUCUUUCCAUACUUUUUGUUUUUGUAUUAUUUUUUUUCUUCUUAAACAUUAUGUUUUCUUUAUUUUAUUUUGCUGCGCCAUUCAUAUUGAACUGUAUGUUAAUUUUACUGUGUGUGUGUGUGUAUAUAUAUAUUGCGUAGUAGUUGAGACGUAGCUGAGUUUUUAAUCUGGUUCGUAUGCAGCAUUUUAAUAGUAAUUGGCAACUCUAAUACUCUCAAUAUUUCUAUAUGCAAUGUAUGAGAAUUAGUCGCAUUUGUUUUGUGGCUUUUCUUGAAAAAAUAUCUGCAACGAAUUUGUUGAUCUUUGCAAUAAUUCGAUUUUUGCAGUCUUUCUUUAACGUUGAAAUAAAUAUUUUGUGCAUAGUUACAAGUAAAGCAUAAUUCACUUAAUGCAAUUGUUACAAACUAACGAAAUAAUGCACACACAAUAAAUUAUAACCAAAUGCAGCUUAAAAUGUCGAGAAAUACGGGAAAUAUCCAAUAAGAAUUUCGUACAGCCGGCGUUUUACAAUUGGAAUUGUUCUUGUUUUCUAUGAUGCUUGUCCGGAUGCUUACACUAAUAAGUGAGAGGUUCUUAUAAAGUAAACCUUUUCUCAGGUUUUCAGACAGGACGGGUCACUGUUCUGUUAAAUAUAACGAUUAAGAAACAUUUCGUACUCUGAGACAAAGUAAGGAUUGUCGAUCUCGUUACACUUCCUAAAGACCGAAAAUUUGACCGAAAUAUAUGAUACUUUUGUGGUGGGGCCUGAGAAGAUUGAGU